CCCCCCAGCAAGAACAUAAGUAUUGGGGGUAAUGCCUGCCCAGUGACACUGUUAAACGGCCGCGGUAUCCUAACCGUGCAAAGGUAGCGUAAUCACUUGUCUUUUAAAUAAAGACUAGAAUGAAUGGCCAAACGAGGCUCUACCUGUCUCUUACAAAUAAUCAGUGAAAUUGAUCUUCCCGUGCAAAAGCGGGGAUAACACUAUAAGACGAGAAGACCCUGUGGAACUUCAAAUAUAAAAUCAACUAUCACCAACACCCACCCACGGGCCUUAUACCAAAUAGCACCUGAUUUUUAUUUUCGGUUGGGGCGACCUCGGAACAAAACAAAACCUCCGAAAAAUAAAAAACCUUUAAACCUAGAACAACAGUUCAAAGUGCUUCCGGCAAAACGAUCCAAUACACUUGAUCAACGAACCAAGCUACCCCAGGGAUAACAGCGCAAUCCCAUCCUAGAGUCCCUAUCGACGAUGGGGUUUACGACCUCGAUGUUGGAUCAGGACAUCCUAAUGGUGUAGCCGCUAUUAAGGGUUCGUUUGUUCAACGAUU
RNAcentral lists this ribosomal RNA (547 nucleotides) under Chelonoidis vicina (Cerro Azul giant tortoise). RNAcentral describes it as "partial 16S ribosomal RNA". It matches the Rfam family "Bacterial large subunit ribosomal RNA", at positions 1816 to 2589 of the family's 2925-position model. The record is from RNAcentral. Lineage: Eukaryota; Metazoa; Chordata; Testudines; Testudinidae.